RNAcentral lists this ribosomal RNA (458 nucleotides) under uncultured bacterium. RNAcentral's name for it is "partial 16S ribosomal RNA". It matches the Rfam family "Bacterial small subunit ribosomal RNA", at positions 338 to 795 of the family's 1533-position model. The record is from RNAcentral.
CCUACGGGAGGCAGCAGUGAGGAAUAUUGGUCAAUGGGCGAGAGCCUGAACCAGCCAAGUCGCGUGAGGGAGUACUGCCCUAUGGGUUGUAAACCUCUUUUGUCGGGGAGCAAAAGCCGGACGUGUCCGGCUGUGAGAGUACCCGAAGAAAAAGCAUCGGCUAACUCCGUGCCAGCAGCCGCGGUAAUACGGAGGAUGCGAGCGUUAUCCGGAUUUGUGGGGUUUAAGGGGAGCGCAGGCGGAUUUUUAAGUCAGCGGUAAAAGCGUGGGGAUCAACCCCAUCCAGCCGUUGAAACUGGGGAUCUAGAGUGUGCGAGAGGGAUGCGGAAUGAGUGGUGUAGCGGUGAAAUGCAUAGAUAUCACGCAGAACACCGAUUGCGAAGGCAGCAUACCGGUGCACAACUGACGCUCAGGCACGAAAGCGUGGGUAUCGAACAGGAUUAGAUACCCCGGUAGUC